This 253-nucleotide ribosomal RNA is filed under the name uncultured bacterium. Its description in RNAcentral is "partial 16S ribosomal RNA". It matches the Rfam family "Bacterial small subunit ribosomal RNA", at positions 524 to 776 of the family's 1533-position model. The record is from RNAcentral.
UACGUAGGGUGCGAGCGUUAAUCGGAAUUACUGGGCGUAAAGGGCGCGUAGGCGGCCUUCUAAGUCGAACGUGAAAUCCCCGGGCUCAACCCGGGAACUGCGUCCGAUACUGGAAGGCUUGAAUCCGGGAGAGGGAUGCGGAAUUCCAGGUGUAGCGGUGAAAUGCGUAGAUAUCUGGAGGAAUACCGGAGGCGAAGGCGGCCAACUGGGAAUGCAUUGACACUGAGGUGCGAAAGCGUGGGGAGCAAACAGG